RNAcentral lists this ribosomal RNA (409 nucleotides) under Brucella melitensis. RNAcentral's name for it is "partial 16S ribosomal RNA". It matches the Rfam family "Bacterial small subunit ribosomal RNA", at positions 355 to 776 of the family's 1533-position model. RNAcentral also lists the same sequence under 2 other names. Lineage: Bacteria; Pseudomonadati; Pseudomonadota; Alphaproteobacteria; Hyphomicrobiales; Brucellaceae. The record is from RNAcentral.
UGGGGAAUAUUGCACAAUGGGCGAAAGCCUGAUGCAGCGACGCCGCGUGAGGGAUGACGGCCUUCGGGUUGUAAACCUCUUUCAGCAGGGACGAAGCGCAAGUGACGGUACCUGCAGAAGAAGCACCGGCUAGCUACGUGCCAGCAGCCGCGGUAAUACGUAGGGUGCAAGCGUUGUCCGGAAUUACUGGGCGUAAAGAGUUCGUAGGCGGUUUGUCGCGUCGUUUGUGAAAACCAGCAGCUCAACUGCUGGCUUGCAGGCGAUACGGGCAGACUUGAGUACUGCAGGGGAGACUGGAAUUCCUGGUGUAGCGGUGAAAUGCGCAGAUAUCAGGAGGAACACCGGUGGCGAAGGCGGGUCUCUGGGCAGUAACUGACGCUGAGGAACGAAAGCGUGGGUAGCGAACAGG